GGAGACUUGUGAUGGGGCAUGGCUUGAGGCAGCAGACAUAGAAUAAGUCUGAAGAUCUCAGUUUACUGCUUGCUUGAUCAUGAGGCAGGAUGAUGGCUCUCACUUCAUAGAAGCCACCAAUCCAGGAACAAAGAACUUCUGAACUCCCUCCCCCCAGCUUGGGGGAGAUGAUUGACUCAAGAUUGGAUGGGCAGAAUUGACCUGACUGAAGGGGAAAAGGUGGCCACUAAAGAUUGGCCAUGAAGAUAGCAGAUCAGAGGCAGCAAUCCAGCUGGACUUUCUCAACAUUUCUCUUUAAA
This is a non-coding RNA of Phascolarctos cinereus (koala), 299 nucleotides long. Lineage: Eukaryota; Metazoa; Chordata; Mammalia; Diprotodontia; Phascolarctidae. The record is from RefSeq and is a predicted model, not a curated record.